AAAAUAUUUUGGUAAAUAAUGGAAACAUUAUGACACAAAACUAUAGGGCCUUUAAAAUGGCAGCCAGUUGCAGCU
This 75-nucleotide non-coding RNA is filed under the name unclassified sequences. RNAcentral describes it as "c-di-GMP sequence". It matches the Rfam family "c-di-GMP-I riboswitch aptamer". From Rfam's summary of the family: GEMM was predicted in a large-scale screen for bacterial structured RNA regulatory elements. The record is from RNAcentral.